GACGAACGCUGGCGGCGUGCUUAACACAUGCAAGUCGAACGGAAAGGCCCUGCUUUUGUGGGGUGCUCGAGUGGCGAACGGGUGAGUAACACGUGAGUAACCUGCCCUUGACUUUGGGAUAACUUCAGGAAACUGGGGCUAAUACCGGAUAGGAGCUCCUGCUGCAUGGUGGGGGUUGGAAAGUUUCGGCGGUUGGGGAUGGACUCGCGGCUUAUCAGCUUGUUGGUGGGGUAGUGGCUUACCAAGGCUUUGACGGGUAGCCGGCCUGAGAGGGUGACCGGCCACAUUGGGACUGAGAUACGGCCCAGACUCCUACGGGAGGGAGCAGUGGGGAAUAUUGCACUAUGGGCGGAAGCCUGAUGCAGCAACGCCGCGUGCGGGAUGACGGCCUUCGGGUUGUAAACCGCUUUCGCCUGUGACGAAGCGUGAGUGACGGUAAUGGGUAAAGAAGCACCGGCUAACUACGUG
This 468-nucleotide ribosomal RNA is filed under the name uncultured bacterium. RNAcentral describes it as "partial 16S ribosomal RNA". It matches the Rfam family "Bacterial small subunit ribosomal RNA", at positions 28 to 507 of the family's 1533-position model. The record is from RNAcentral.